Long non-coding RNA from Cyprinus carpio carpio, 528 nucleotides. The record is from Ensembl. Lineage: Eukaryota; Metazoa; Chordata; Actinopteri; Cypriniformes; Cyprinidae.
UAAAAAAAAAAUUCACUUAGAAAUUGAUAGUGAAUUUCACAAAUAAUUUCAACAAUCAGCAAGAGUUCAGUCGGCUUCAGACCCAGAUGACUCCAUUAGCAGCGAGAUGCCCAUCGUGUCUCCAGCAGCUGCUAAAGGUUAUUCUUCUGUGCCUGUUUCACUCCUUCCAGACUCUGGAAACCGAAUCUCCGAUGGGACGUGCAGAGAGGAGAAGCGCUGAUGUGUGUUGGGCUGGAGACAAGGCCCGUCUUUGUGUUGGGAGAGUGAAUGAUGAAUAUGCUCUCUAGACUCGACUUCUCUCUUCCAGCGGCCGCUGAUGUUGGAAAGCUAAGCGGCUCGUUUAGUCACUGCAUGUGUGGUGAAGUAAUAAACACUGCUUUAAAUAUCCUGAACCUCACAAGACAUGCAAUCCAGACCACUCAAGCAUUAUUCAGAAUAAACAGCAGUGAUUGGUGCAUCAUCUUCAUUAUUUUUAUCAGUUUAUGCACACUACUGUAUAGCUCUAUUAAUAAUAUAUACAUUAAAAAG